RNAcentral lists this unclassified non-coding RNA (891 nucleotides) under Hevea brasiliensis (rubber tree). Lineage: Eukaryota; Viridiplantae; Streptophyta; Magnoliopsida; Malpighiales; Euphorbiaceae. The record is from RNAcentral.
UGUAUGUUAACCCAAUCGACAUAUCUCUAAAAGUGACGUUUCUCACCCAGAUUUCUUUGCUACCGUGGAUUUGAACAGGCACGCGAACUCCCUCACCGUGGAUUGUUGUGUAGCUUAUGUUUUCCAGUAAUGGGACAGCUUUGGGGUCAAAACUCUCGUCAGCAUGUUCAUUGUAAUCUGUUUUGAUGACGAUUCCCACCCUAACGUUUUCAAAUGUCAAGUUCUUGUAUGUUAUAUCUCGAACGUAUCCUCCUCUUCCAGGUGCUGUUUUGAUGCGUACAGCACGUCUUGAGUUCCAGAUAAAGAGGUUUUCCACAGUGACAUUUGACACUCCACCAGACAUCUCACUUCCUAUUGAUACACCAGCACUGACAUUGGAACGAAUGACAAGGUUUCGAAUGAGUAUAUUCUUUGAAGGUCGUCCAUAAGCAAUUCCAUACUGAUCCCAUCCACUCUUUAUUGCGAUGCCAUCAUCACCAACGCUGAUGUAACAGUUCUCUAUCAACACAUCUUCACAAGAAUCUGGAUCUAUGCCAUCAGUAUUCGGAGCCCCAGCAAUGGGUGCCAGGAUUGUAACAUUCCUGAUUGUUACAUUCUUGCAGUCAUAUGGAUGGAGUGUCCAAAAGGGAGAAUCUUGUAAAGUUAUAUUUGAUAUUAGGAUGUCAGUAGACCACAUGAUCUGCACGAGCGGUCCUCGGGAAUGGUUAAGAAGCUUCUGCCGGAAUUUCUUCCACCAUGCUUGACCCUGCCCAUUAAUUGUACCAUUAUGCCCUGUGAUUAUCACGUCUUUCAGUUUUUGUCCAUGGAUUAAACUUCCAUAGCGUGGUCCACGAUGCUCUCUUCCAUACCCAUAUGAAGGUAAGGGAGGCAUGAGAGGCCAGUACUUCUCAU